Molecule: small nuclear RNA, 109 nt
Organism: Mastomys coucha (southern multimammate mouse)
Lineage: Eukaryota; Metazoa; Chordata; Mammalia; Rodentia; Muridae
Source: RefSeq, a predicted model, not a curated record
GUAUGCUCACUUCAGCAACACAUAUACUAAAAUCGGAACAGUACAGAGAAAACUAGCAUGGCCCCUGCACAAGGAUGACACGCAAAUUUGUGAAGCGGUCCAUACUUUU